Molecule: long non-coding RNA, 4470 nt
Filed under: Homo sapiens (human)
Lineage: Eukaryota; Metazoa; Chordata; Mammalia; Primates; Hominidae
Description: HSALNT0292590
Source: RNAcentral
CACAGCCCUAAUGAGCUCUGCAUAUUCAAAACACAAGUAAUUGAUAGUCCAAUUUAAAGUGUGCAGAGGCCAAAUUUCUUUCCAGACGCUGAAGGAAAAACACCAGCUGAGGAAGAAUGAAGAACUGCCUGUUCUAAGUUAUUCUCCUUCUGUGGUCAUUCGAGCACCAGGAAGACCAGGUUUGCCCCAUCAAGUACCUCAAGAAAGAAGUCAAUUACCUAAAGAAGUCAAGCAAAGAGGAAAGGACAAAAUGAAAAUCAUGUACCAGGGUACACGUCGAGGCUCCAAGCUGGAAUGAAUAUGGCCUUCAACAUACUCUUUAUCAUACAGAAGCUUGUGUUCAGGGCUUGGAUUUUGAAGUCAGACAGACCUGGAUUAAAAACCAAUUCAACUACCUAUUACAUAUGUGACCUAGUUGCUUGCUCUGGGGGAAGUCAGCCUCCAUGCUGUGAGGAAACAAGUAAACUAUGGAGAAGCCUACAUGGAGAGGAACCAAGGCCUCCUUCCUACAACCAGCACCAAACUGCCAGCCAUAUCAAUUGGAAGCAGAUCCUCCAGCCCCAGUCAAGCCUUCAGAUGACUGUAGACCUGACUGAUAUCUCAGCUGUCGCCUCAUGACAAACCCCAAGCCAGAACCACCUGGCUAAGCUGCUCUUGAAUUUCUGACUCACAGCAGCUGUGAGAUAAUAAAUGUUUAUGGUUGUUUUGAAUUAUUGACAUUAGAUAACUUGGUAAGCAGCUAAGGUACCUAACAAGGAAUCGCAAGGUAUGAGGGUAGGAAAGCUGGCACUUUGAGGUUGUAAAGACUUGUAUUUGAAAUCCAACUCUUCCAUUGACUGGUUGUUAGACUGAAGCCAUGUUCCUUUACCUCUUAGAGCUCCCAUUUUUCAUUUAUAACAUGACAUCAUGCCCACAGAACCUCCAAGAUACAAUAGUAUAUAGUAAUUCUCAGUGUCUUUGUCUCCCUCUACUUUAUAUCAGUGGAGACAUGCCAUUUUCAAGGCUGAGAAUAAAAGAAAAAACAGAUUGUAUUGACAACAGGUACUGCAGAGUUGGGUGUAUUCAUUGCCCUAGAAAGAGUCAGCCAGAGAGCUGUUAAUCUGAGGUUGCCUGAGGCCAUGUUUCAUGGUAAGUACUACAGAUUUUCAAGCCUAUUCCUCACUUGGGUUAAUUGGCUUUAAGAGUCCAUCUCCUGCUGUGUAAACAUAAUUGCCUUUUAUUUAUUUGAAAUUUACCUCUUCAUAAUUUCAUGUCUUAUUUUCUUCAUUUGCAAUGCAACAAGGAAAUAGCUUUAUGAUGAGUAUUCUUAUGAAAGUGAUUAUUUAAUUAUCUCUUAUUAUGGGCCAUAUAUAUCAUGAAGACAUCUUAGUUUAUUCUCAAAGCACCAUCCCGGAAUAUCUAUUAUUUGUGACAUUUUACUGAUUAGAAAAUAGAUAUAAAUGCCAAGAAUAUUACUUUGCCACUUAGUAUUAUGUGACCUUGGCUUUUAGGUCCCUUUUACAUCUUAUUAUUUUUACUAUUUUUAUUUUUUUGAGUUGGAGUCUCGCUAUGUUGCCCAGGCUGGAGUGCAGUGGCACAAUCUGGGCUCAUUGCAACCUCCGCCUCCCAGGUUCAAGCAAUUCUCCUGCCUCAGCCUCCUGAGUAGCUGAUAAUACAAGCAUGCGCCACUAUGCCCAGUUAAUUUUUUUUUACAUCCUAUUAUUAAACCUCCUUUACAUUUUAGUUUCCUCAACUGCAUAAUGGAAGAUAAGAAUAAAACCUGUGCAAAAUGAACUUGAUGUGAAUAUUAAAGAAGUCAACAUGAAUGAAAUACUUAAAACAGUGUCUGGUAUAUUCUGAUAAAUUACUGGUUAGUUUCUAUCAUUAUUUUUCUAAUCAGCAUUUAAAAAGUUUAGAGCAAAAUUUCUCUCUUGGCCAUUUUGUUCCAUCCAUGGUAUCUCUUUCCUGCAAUAAUAUUCCAUUUUACAGCAUUUCCCACAUCCAUUUGAUGCUUUCAACAAUCCUGUAACUCAGCAUCACUAUUGUAAUUUUUCAGGUGAACAAACUAAUGCUCAGAAAGGUGAACGUGAAUUGCGCCAAGUUCCUUUGGUUGCAAGCAACAGAAACCAACUAAUGCUAGUAUAAACUAAAUAGAGAAAUUCAUCAUAAGAUAUAAGUGUGACUUAUCAAAAUGAAGUUCAUGAAUGAGUUACAGGGAAGAGCCCUGAAAAUGACAACAACUGCAACAAAGAAAGCCAUAGGGAACCCAAGCAAUGUGGCCUCUCUUCUUUCUCCCCUUUUCUCUACUUAGCUUUAGUUAUUUUUCUCUGCAGAUUGGCUUUCUCAGCUACUCAGUACAUAUAGUUGGAGAAAUGGCAGGCUCCCAAAUUCAUAUGUUAUUAUGCCAACCACAGGGUAGAUUGAACUUGUACCUCUCUUUUUGGAUUCUGCAUUGCCACAGAUGGAACUCUGGUUUGACUAGCCUGGGUCAAGAGCCUUCCCCUAAUCCAAUCAAUCAUUGUCAAGAAGUGGGGUCACAAUGUACUAACAUUGCUGCUGGGAACUCACUCCUGUAGAUUCUUGUAGGAAGGCCAUGGGCAAGUGAAAGACACUCCAGAGGAGGCCCAGAAUAUGAAAUGAUUUUCCUAAGCCAUUUCAAAUGUUGGAGUGGCUGAGGCAGGAUUCUCUUUCAGAUAUUCUUUUCCCAUGAGAUCAGCACUUUUCCCACAAGCCUUCAGUUUCUUCCUUUCAGGAGGUCAGCACCUCCUCAAGUUCCUGCUGGAGGAGAUCUGGGUACUCUUCUAACUGUAGCCCUUCUGCAGAUGGAGCUAGCCUCACACACAGGCAGUGUGUCCAUAGUGAUUGGAUAUUAUUCUUUACUCCUCCUCCUGGUAAAAGAAUUUUGCAUCCUAAACUUGACCCUGUGACUUUCAGUGUUUCUCUGGAGGAGGGAUGUACUUCUCCAUAUUACUGACACCAGACUUGGGUAUAUGACUUGUUUUAGCCAAUGGUACCUAAAUGGGAAUGAUUUAGGCCAAGUACAAGCAGAAACAUUAAGAACCAUUUGCAAGGUUCAGCCAUGUCUUUUUUUUUCUCUUCCACAAUAAUAGCAUGUCCCAAAUAUGGGCUGUUCCUUCAACCUGGGUCUUGGAAUGAAGAAGAUAUAUGGAGUAGAGCCAUGAACACACUGUUGCUGCCUCUGACAACAACACAAGAGAGAAAUGAACCUUUGAAAAAUAACAUAUCUGAGUUCAAUGUUGAGCAUGCUGAGUUGAGGUGCAUAGGGGAUAAAUUCAGUAGGAUAUAUUAGUUUGAAUUUUAGGAAAGAGAGCUAGAUGAGAGUUACAUAUUGUUGUUCAUCUGGCCACAGAUGGUACUUGAAGCUUCGAGAUUCAUUGAAAUCCCAGGGAGAAUAGCAGCAUAAAAGAGGGAGGGAAUAAACAUUGACUCAACAACAUUAAAGUGAUGGUAGAGGAAGAGAAGUGUGGGGGAGGUUGGGAAGGACGGGCAGGGGAAAUGGAAGCCACAUUAGCUAUAAAGAAAAGUGAGUUAUCUUCAGCUUCAGCACUGGAAUUGCUCUUGAGAAAGAAAUGCCUUUGUUCUUGUCUUUCAGUAAUAUCACUUCAUGUGAGCUUGAAAACAGCCUUGUGAGGUGUAGUUAGAGGAGAAUAGACACAUUCGUCUCCAAGGUAGAAGUGAGGAAACUAAGACUCAAAGGAAUAAACACCUUGCCCAAGUUUUUUUAAAAAUUUAAUUUGAAAUUGUGGUGAACAAAACCCACAUAAUAUAAAAUUUACCAUCUUACCCACUUCUAAGUAUAUGGUUCAGUAGUGUAUAAUAUAUUCACAUUGUUGUGCAACCAAUCUCCAGAACUUCUACAUCUUGCAAAAUUGAAAAUCAGUACCAAUUAAACAUUAACUCCCCAUUCUCCUCACCCCACAUCCCUGGGAAACCACCAUUCUACUUUCUGUCUCUAUGGAUUUGUCCACUCCAGGUACCUCAUAUAAGUGGAAUCCUAUAAUAUUUGUCCUUUUGUGUGUGGCUUAUUUCACUUAGCGUAGUGUGCUCAAGGUUCAUUCAUGCUGUAGGAUGUGUCAGAAUUUCUUUCCUUUUUAAGGCUGAAUAAUACUCCUUUGUGUAUACAGACCUCAUUUUGUUUGUUCAUUCAUUGUCAAUGGACACUCCAGCUGCUUCCACCUCUUGGCCCCUGUGAAUCAUGCCUCAGAGCAUGGGUGUGAGGCAUUGUCUUUUUGAGGCAAAGAGGACAGAAGGGGGACCCUGAGAGCAUGUUGUAAAGACAAUAAAAAAGAUUUCAUUACUGCCCUGUAUGAGGAAAUGAGGGGAGUUUUGCUCCUGAAGGAGUCAGGGAAAGAAGAAUGGAGAGGGGCCAAAAAGGAGAGGUGGUGAGAGAUGAUCCAGGGAGGUGGGGAAGGGUAGGGAUUAUCUGGGGUGAAGGGGCCAGUGAAAAUUGUCUAUUGUUUUGUGGUCAAA